RNAcentral lists this ribosomal RNA (328 nucleotides) under uncultured eukaryote. Its description in RNAcentral is "partial 18S ribosomal RNA". It matches the Rfam family "Eukaryotic small subunit ribosomal RNA", at positions 1470 to 1796 of the family's 1831-position model. The record is from RNAcentral.
CCCUUAGAUGUUCUGGGCCGCACGCGCGCUACACUGAUGAAUUCAACGAGUUUAUAACCUUGGUUGAGAAGCCUGGGUAAUCUUUUGAACGUUCAUCGUGAUGGGGAUAGAUUAUUGCAAUUAUUAAUCAUCAACGAGGAAUUCCUAGUAAACGCGAGUCAUCAACUCGCAUUGAUUACGUCCCUGCCCUUUGUACACACCGCCCGUCGCUACUACCGAUUGAAUGGCUUAGUGAGCUUUCUGGACUGUUGCGCUUCGUUGGAAACUUCGUUGUGCAUACGGGAAGGAAAUCAAACUUGAUCAUUUAGAGGAAGUAAAAGUCGUAACA